GACGUAGGGGGCAAGCGUUGCUCGGAAUUACUGGGCGUAAAGGGUUCGUAGGCGGUGCGGCAAGUCGGAAGUGAAAUCUCUGGGCUCAACUCAGAGGCUGCUCCCGAAACUGCCGUGCUAGAGUGCGGGAGAGGCGAGUGGAAUUACAGGUGUAGCGGUGAAAUGCGUAGAUAUCAGGAGGAACACCUGCGGUGUAGACGGCUUUCUGGACCAUUGUUGACGCUGAGACACGAAAGCGUGGGUAGCAAACAGG
This 253-nucleotide ribosomal RNA is filed under the name uncultured bacterium. RNAcentral's name for it is "partial 16S ribosomal RNA". It matches the Rfam family "Bacterial small subunit ribosomal RNA", at positions 524 to 776 of the family's 1533-position model. The record is from RNAcentral.